This 1520-nucleotide long non-coding RNA is filed under the name Equus asinus (donkey). RNAcentral describes it as "lncRNA (ENSEASG00005026878.1)". Lineage: Eukaryota; Metazoa; Chordata; Mammalia; Perissodactyla; Equidae. The record is from RNAcentral.
AAAAAAGCAUAUUCAAAGCAAAGAGCCACACUAAGCAGAUUCAAAAGAGAUUUAAUAGGCACUAUUUUUUCCCUAUGCAGAAAAAUGUAAGCCUAUUCAAAUUUUUCAACUUAGAGAGCUAUUUUUAGUUGCAUGAGACACAGAGACUAUAUAAUCCUCGUAAAGAUGUCAGCUGGCCCCAGGCACCUGCAGAAAUGAUUCAUUUGACUAAUGACAAAGUAUCUGCAUAUGGAGAGCAUCAUACAUCUUCCAUAUGUUAUAAUAAAAUGUGUUCUCAGUGCAGCAGAAAGUAUUUUUAUCUGAAGGUGGCAUUGACCCUGGGGAGUCCAAACAGCUAAAGUAUCAAGAAAUGGUAACACAUGUGAAAUCAGUUCUUAUUUAUCUUGAGCACGGCGUCAAGGUUAUGGUAAAAACUUCUGGCGGUGGCUGGUGGAAUGCCCUGGACACUUUCUCCAACCGUCACAGGUUGGGAGGGGUCCAGCUCUAGAGGCUUCUGACAAAAUCAGGAAAGGCCAAGAUUUGUGAAUUCCUUUCAGUUUGUCAAACCAUUGACUACGUAACCAGGAAGUGAGAAAUUGAGGUGGAUGUCGGGAAGUGGCUGAUAAUGUCCUCCUGUAUCAUCCAGCCGCUGGUGCCGAAGACACUGGACCCGUGUUAGAAAUCGCCGGUGCAUUUGGAGUGUCAGCGCGGGUAGGAGUGCGUGGGUUAUGGCUCACAGCAAACUCACCGGGAGGCAGCCUCUCCGCAUGGUGUCCGCCCCCUUCGGGAUUCGGAUCCACCUCUCGGGAGUGCAGUGUCUGGGAGCAGGAAGGGGCACAGCUUAGACGGAGAAAUCAGGGUUGAGGGGACAGAUGAGGGAUAUUGCACCUCUGCUGCGGAUCCCAGGUGAGGUGAAGGCGGCUGGGAGAGUCCUAGAGGAGGGCCGGGAGGUUCAGGUGCAAACACCCCAGGACCUUGGUGCGGGGCAUAAACCUGCAGAUCUCCUCUCCUCGAGAGCCCGGGGCCCGCUCUGUGUCCUGGGGGACUCGCCUGGCGUUCCCCGUGGUGCCCAGCAGGCACCCGCAACCCCAGCUUGGCUGCCCCUGACUGUGGACGACCUCGUUCUGCCCGGGCGGAGACGCCUCCCGCUGACCCCUCCCCACCUGGACGUCCACCUCACCCCUCCGCGCUAGGCCACCUGAGGACUGAAUUGUUUGGGAAGGGAAGGGAGGGCAGAGGGGGGAAGAGGGAAAAGACAGGACGAGGAAGAAGAGAAGAAGAGGAACAGACAUUGCUUUGAUCCUGUCUUCCUGUGAUCGUUGCGGGGUGGAGCAUCUCCCUCCUCAGUUUACACCCACUGCCAGAGGAACCAGCAGCCAUCACGCUUGGCCAGCCCCUCUCAACAUCAGCGUCACUAACCACAUCGGUGAACUGGACAAGUGUGAUUCUGUGGAGGCCAUCAAGGAAUCUUUAUUGUUCUUUUGUCACUUGCACUGAGAAUCCACUUGGAAUUGAUUUUUGUCUAUGGUAUGAAGUUAAGG